This 30-nucleotide non-coding RNA is filed under the name Mus musculus (house mouse). The record is from RNAcentral. Lineage: Eukaryota; Metazoa; Chordata; Mammalia; Rodentia; Muridae.
UACAGUUUUUAUGGUCAUGGCAGCCUGUGU